GCAAGUCGAGGGGCAGCGUGGAGGAAGCUUGCUUUCUCCGCCGGCGACUGGCGCACGGGUGAGUAACACGUAUGCAACCUGCCCCUGUCAGGGGGACAACCCGCCGAAAUGCCGGCUAAACCCUCGUACAUGCCACCGGGGCAUCACGGAGGCAGGAAAGGCAUUAGCCGGACAGGGAUGGGCAUGCGGCGCAUUAGGCAGUAGGCGGGGUAACGGCCCACCUAACCGACGAUGCGUAGGGGUUCUGAGAGGAAGGUC
RNAcentral lists this ribosomal RNA (258 nucleotides) under uncultured bacterium. Its description in RNAcentral is "partial 16S ribosomal RNA". It matches the Rfam family "Bacterial small subunit ribosomal RNA", at positions 57 to 305 of the family's 1533-position model. The record is from RNAcentral.